GAUGAACGCUGGCGGCGUGCCUAAUACAUGCAAGUCGAGCGGACGGACGAGAAGCUCGCUUCUCUGAUGUUAGCGGCUGACGGGCGAGUAACACGUGGAUAACCUACCUAUAAGACUGGGAUAACUUCGGGAAACCGGAGCUAAUACCGGAUGAUAUGUUGAACCGCAGGGUUCAAAAGUGAAAGACGGUCUUGCUGUCUCUUAUAGAUGGUUCCGCGCUGCAUUAGCUAGUUGGUAAGGUAACGGCUUACCAAGGCAACGUUGCAUAGCCGACCUGAGAGGGUGAUCGGCCACACUGGAACUGAGACACGGUCUAGACUCCUACGGGAGGCAGCAGUAGGGAAUCUUCCGCAAUGGGCGAAAGCCUGACGGAGCAACGCCGCGUGAGUGAUGAAGGUCUUCGGAUCUUAAAACUCUGUUAUUAGGGAAAAACAUAUGUGUAAGUAACUGUGCACAUCUUGACGGUACCUAAUCAGAAAGCCACGGCUAACUACGUG
RNAcentral lists this ribosomal RNA (497 nucleotides) under uncultured bacterium. RNAcentral describes it as "partial 16S ribosomal RNA". It matches the Rfam family "Bacterial small subunit ribosomal RNA", at positions 28 to 507 of the family's 1533-position model. The record is from RNAcentral.